UAAAAACAAACAAAUAAGAUUUCCUAUGCCUUGGAGAAACCAACCCUUCGCCUUCUCAGAUCUCCGAUCGACGAUUUCCUCUAAUCGCUGGUUCCUCUGUCUUUCUCCGAGCGCUCUUCUUCUCUCUCACUCGGCCUCGCGCUGGUCCAUGCCCUCUUCUCUCUCAUGAUUUGUCAGAAAUCCUAAUAAGUUUUGUCCUUGAUUUGCUUUAUUUGAUUGGGGAUCUUUGGGAAUUGGUGUAAUGUGUGAAGGUUCUUGUUGGUGAUUAUCGGGCUGUUUGUAUUCCGCUUGUUGAGGUUGUGGCCAUCAAGAUAUUUGAUUCUGAGAGGAAUAAUAGUGAUUUGAUUUCUGAAAGAGUUGUAAACCUGGAAGCACUGCAAAAGAUCGCUGGUAGUGGUCAGCUUGAUUGGAGAGUCUGAGCUCUAGUCUGGAAGUUAAAAGUGAUGAGUGAUAGAAAUAGAGAAUGGAUGGCUCUCCCAAGAGCUAGUGCGGAAUAUAUCAGUGGAGUUGAUGGUUUUUUUGAUAUGGCAUUUCAAAGGACCGCGGAAGGACAAGAAAUACUUUGCCCGUGUAAAAAGUGUUUGAACCGUAAUUGGUAUUAUAGAGCAACAGUUAGAGAUCACUUGAUAGUUUAUGGUUUUGUAGAAGACUAUACUGAAUGGGUAUUCCAUGGAGAAGGAUUGCCAAUGUAUUCUGAAUGAUUACCAUCACAUAAUGAAGGACUUGGCCCUGUGGAUGACAUGGAUGGCAUGCUGCAAGAUAUAUAUAGAGAUGUAGCAAUUUAGAGAUGUAGCAAUUGAAGAGUAAAACCUUCCAAGAAUUUGUGAAGGUCCAAAUACAGAGGUAAAGAAAUUUUACAAGUUAAUGGAGGAAGGCCGAAGGAGCUUUAUCCAGGGUGCAAGAGUUUCUCAAGCCUUUCUUUCAUCGUUCGAUAUAUAUACAUAUCAAAGGCCUCGGAAUUUUCCAAUUGGUGCCAUCAUUACAUGGAAACAUUUUUUGGAAUAAAUUAGAAGUUUUUUCA
Molecule: long non-coding RNA, 1021 nt
Organism: Dioscorea cayenensis subsp. rotundata (Guinea yam)
Lineage: Eukaryota; Viridiplantae; Streptophyta; Magnoliopsida; Dioscoreales; Dioscoreaceae
Exons: 3
Source: RefSeq, a predicted model, not a curated record